AGGCUUAACACAUGCAAGUCGAGCGGAAACGAUGGGUGAGCUUGCUACCAGGCGUACGAGCGGCGGACGGGUGAGUAAUACUUAGGAAUCUACCUAGUAGUGGGGGAUAGCACGGGGAAACUCGUAUUAAUACCGCAUACGCACCUACGGGGAGAAAGCGGGGCGAAUUUACUGACUCUCGNCUCAUAUAGGAUGUAGUCCUACAAGUUGCUGGAAUUAAUGCCCUACGAAAUGGGGUGGGGGGGGUAGAUAGGGGCACCUCACCCCACUCGGGGCGGAAACGAAAUUAUUGUUAGUACUGGGUUGCUUGAAGAAGGGAUGAAUNAUGCCCACACCCUGGAACAGAGACACGGCGCCGCGACUCCUACAGGGGGCGCCACUGGGGAAUAUAUGGACACUGNGGGGAGACCCUCAUCCACGNCCCCACCCGCGUUGUUGUUUGAUAGGAAAGAGGCCGUCUUUUUGGGGGUUGGGUUUGAUAAAGCCCAGCCCUUCUUUAAAAGCUCCAGGUUGGGAAAAGGGAAAAGAGAAACCUCCCUUUCCCGGGGUUUAAAUUACUCCCCGUGAAGAACCGAUCGAACAUCGAUGCUGCACAAUAUACGCCGGCUAACUCUGUGCCAGCAGCCGCGGUAAUAUAGAGGGUGUGCGCGCGUGUCUGAGUCUCUCGGGCGUAUAGCGCGCGUAUGUGGCUUGAUAUGUCAGAUGUGAGANUCUCGCGGCUCAACCUGUGGAGCUGCAUCUGACACUGUGUGGCUCGAGAUUGUGAGAGGGAUGUAUAGUUUCUGGUGUGUCGCUGAAAUGCGUAUAGAUCUGAUGGAGACCCGAUAGCGACNGCGGCGUCCCUGUCAUCAUACUCGACACUGUGGCGCGCAAGCGUGAGUAGCAACAGGAUAUAUACCAUGUAGUCAACGCUACAUU
Molecule: ribosomal RNA, 918 nt
Filed under: Psychrobacter sp. D102-A11
Lineage: Bacteria; Pseudomonadati; Pseudomonadota; Gammaproteobacteria; Moraxellales; Moraxellaceae
Description: partial 16S ribosomal RNA
Rfam family: Bacterial small subunit ribosomal RNA
Source: RNAcentral